CUUUGACCUCGGAUCAGGUAGGGAUACCCGCUGAACUUAAGCA
RNAcentral lists this ribosomal RNA (43 nucleotides) under Herpotrichia sp. Its description in RNAcentral is "partial 28S ribosomal RNA". The record is from RNAcentral. RNAcentral also lists the same sequence under 3 other names. Lineage: Eukaryota; Fungi; Ascomycota; Dothideomycetes; Pleosporales; Melanommataceae.